UUAUCUUGUCGAUGCGACGGUUCCCCCGGGCGACCGGGGGUGAAAAGGGAAGCCGGUUUGAGUCCGGCGCUGUCCCCGCAACUGUGAGCGGCGAGCCCAGUCCGGAUGCCACUGGCCGAAUGGCCGGGAAGGCGGACCCCCGGGGCCCAGACCCGCGAGCCAGGAGACCUGCCGCCGCACGCGUCACGACC
This 191-nucleotide non-coding RNA is filed under the name uncultured Alphaproteobacteria bacterium. Lineage: Bacteria; Pseudomonadati; Pseudomonadota; Alphaproteobacteria. The record is from RNAcentral.